Lynx canadensis (Canada lynx) is the source of this 574-nucleotide long non-coding RNA. RefSeq lists it as uncharacterized. The record is from RefSeq and is a predicted model, not a curated record. NCBI's taxonomy places the organism in Eukaryota, Metazoa, Chordata, Mammalia, Carnivora, Felidae. The transcript is spliced from 3 exons.
GAGGGAGGGGCUGACACUGGAUGAGACGAAGGAGUUGGGCCUCCAUGCGUUCUUCACGAGGGAGCGGAUUUGCCCUAGGAGGAAUUCUGGACUGUGUCUGUAGUAGGUGGGGUGGUUCAGAAGUUGUGUGUGUAGACACAAAAGUGUGAGCUUGUGUAGACUCUGCCCUGCAGGUCACCAUACUCUCCGGGUCACUUCCUGUGGAAUGAAAGCUAGGUUAGCGGAGCUGGGGCCUGGGGCGGGCCCUGCCCCUGCCGGGCCGCCCUCGCCUGUCCAGGCAAGAGGAAUGGUCCACUGCUAUAGUCGAGGACCCCCCCGUCAAGUUCAUCCCUGAGAGGAUUAGGGAGCAGGCAGGUGGCUUACGUGCCUGCUUAGCUCCUCCAGACAACUCAUUCACAUAAGGCGUUGAGAUUUAAGGAGGUUCAGUUCUUCCUCAGAUUCACAGAGCAGGUUGCUGGCAUGGAGCCCGGGAUGAGGAGGCCCCUUCAGGGCACAGUGUUUCUGUAGGAGCAUCACAGGUCAGGACUCCAAAGCCAGGCCCGUCCGUCCAGGAGGCCCAGCCCUGUGAGACGUG